GACGAACGCUGGCGGCGUGCCUAAUACAUGCAAGUCGAACGAGAGCAACCGGUGCUUGCACUGGUCAAUCUAGUGGCGAACGGGUGGGUAACACGUGGGUAACCUGCUCAUCAGAGGGGGAUAACAUCCGGAAACGGAUGCUAAAACCGCAUAGGUCUUCGAACCGCAUGGUUUGAAGAGGAAAAGAGGCGCAAGCUUCUGCUGAUGGAUGGACCCGCGGUGCAUUAGCUAGUUGGUGAGGUAACGGCUCACCAAGGCCGUGAUGCAUAGCCGACCUGAGAGGGUGAUCGGCCACAUUGGGACUGAGACACGGCCCAAACUCCUACGGGAGGCAGCAGUAGGGAAUCUUCCGCAAUGGACGCAAGUCUGGCGGAGCAACGCCGCGUGAGUGAAGAAGGUUUUCGGAUCGUAAAACUCUGUUGUUAGAGAAGAACAAGUGCUAGAGUAACUGUUAGCGCCUUGACGGUAUCUAACCAGAAAGCCACGGCUAACUACGUG
Molecule: ribosomal RNA, 498 nt
Filed under: uncultured bacterium
Lineage: Bacteria
Description: partial 16S ribosomal RNA
Rfam family: Bacterial small subunit ribosomal RNA
Source: RNAcentral